Glossina fuscipes is the source of this 1302-nucleotide RNA transcript. It is a transcript of the gene named ADP-ribosylation factor-related protein 1, with no coding region annotated. NCBI's taxonomy places the organism in Eukaryota, Metazoa, Arthropoda, Insecta, Diptera, Glossinidae. The transcript has 5 exons. The record is from RefSeq and is a predicted model, not a curated record.
AGACAAUUAUUAGCGUAGAGCAAAAAUUUUAAUUUUUAUUAAAUACUUUAGCAAACUUAUGUAUUAAACGUGAAAUUAUAAAAGAACAAAAGACAAAUAAAUAAUGUAUACACUAUUAAAUGGUUUCUAUAAAUAUUUGACACAAAAAGAUGAAUAUUGCGUUGUAAUACUAGGUCUGGAUAAUGCUGGCAAAACGACCUAUUUAGAGGCAGCUAAAACAAAGUUUACCAAAAAUUAUAAAGGUAUGAAUCCGGCAAAAAUUACCACAACAGUGGGCUUAAAUAUUGGUACCAUUGACGUGCAAGGUGUUAAAUUGAAUUUUUGGGAUUUAGGCGGACAACAAGAAUUACAGUCGUUAUGGGAUAAAUAUUAUCAAGAAAGUCAUGCAGUUAUCUACGUUAUAGAUUCCAAUGAUAGAGAGCGUAUGGAAGAGUCAAAGGUUAUUUUUGAUAAAAUGAUAAAAAAUGAUUUAUUGUCGGGAGUUCCUUUGUUGAUUUUAGCUAACAAACAAGACUUACCCGAUGUUAUGGGCGUAAGAGAAAUUAAACCGGUAUUUCAACAAUCCGGAACACUAAUAGGCCGUCGGGAUUGUUUGACAAUACCAGUGUCGGCUUUAACGGGGUAAGUAUUCAUACCUACAUUUAUUUUUAUCAUGAAAUAAUAAGAACUCUUUCCUACUACACGAACAGUGAAGGUAUUGACGAAGGUAUUAAAUGGCUCGUAGAAGCCAUAAAACGCCAUUCAAUUGUAAGACCACCUCGUGUAAAUGACUGAUAGUUUCUUUCAAUCUCUUGAUAAACUCAACUCAGAUGUUAUAUUCUAUUUGUUUUUUUAUGUUCAUUGCUAAUAUUAAGUAUUACGAAUUUUAUAAUUUUCUAAAAAAAUAAAAAAAAUAAAAAAUUUAAGAUGUGUAAAACAUAAAGGGAAAGCCAUAGUCAGCGACAUACAAGUAAUGUUAAGAUUUGGUUGAUAAGACUGCUUUUUACCUUCCAUUAAUUGUGACUGCAAACCUGCAUGUGUUGUUAGUUCUCAUUAUUCUGUGAACCUUUCAAAGAUAAGCUAAAGGCGCCAGAAAAGAAGUGAAUAGUCAUUGGCAGCGAAAGUGUAAGAAAUAGUCUAAUAUUUUGUCAUUUCGAAUGAAAGAAAAUUGAAUCAUUUUAUUAUUUGACCUAAAAACGAUUUGAUAUAAAAAUUAUUUUCGACAACUUUAUUAAAGUUAUUAUGAUUACGUAUGAAUGUAUAAAGGCAUGUGUUUUACAAAGUUUUAUUGCUAUGGAAUAAAUUCAAAACAGAGAAAUAAAA